GUCUUUUUGAAUAAUAUUUAUUUAAAGUCUAAUCUGCUCACUGAAUUAAAAUUUAAAGAGCCGCAGUAUUUUAACUGUGCAAAGGUAGCAUAAUAAUUUGUUUUUUAAUUGAAAACUAGAAUGAAUGAUUGAACGAGAUAUAUACUGUCUCAAUUUUAAUUUAAUAUAAAUUAAUUUUUUAGUUAAAAAGCUAAAAUUGAUUUAAAAGACGAGAAGACCCUAUAGAUUUUUAUAUAAUUAUCAAUUAAUUUAUAUAUAUAUAAAUUUAUUUAUAUUUAUUGAUAAUUGUAUUUUAUUGGGGUAAUAAAAAAAUAAAAAAAACUUUUAUUAAAUAAAAACAUAAAUUAAUGAAAAUUUGAUCCAAAUUUAAUGAUUAAAAGAUUAAAUUACCUUAGGGAUAACAGCGUAAUUUUAAUUUUAAGUUCUUAUUGAAAUUAAAGAUUGCGACCUCGAUGUUGGAUUAAGAAAAAUUUUAAAAGUAGAUUUUUAAAUUUUAGGUCUGUUCGACCUUUAAAAUCUU
This 520-nucleotide ribosomal RNA is filed under the name Xanthochorema caledon. RNAcentral's name for it is "partial 16S ribosomal RNA". Lineage: Eukaryota; Metazoa; Arthropoda; Insecta; Trichoptera; Hydrobiosidae. RNAcentral also lists the same sequence under 1 other name. The record is from RNAcentral.